This is a long non-coding RNA of Lycium barbarum (goji berry), 1002 nucleotides long. RefSeq lists it as uncharacterized. The record is from RefSeq and is a predicted model, not a curated record. The transcript has 2 exons. NCBI's taxonomy places the organism in Eukaryota, Viridiplantae, Streptophyta, Magnoliopsida, Solanales, Solanaceae.
UGGGACAACCUGAAAGUGCCAUUUCUAUAUGGAAUAUUUCUUUUGAGGACCAACCUAGAAAAGACAUUGUUAUACGGUUCUCUCUAUCUUUUGUACAUAAAAGAGCAACUCUUCGUCCAUCCAUCAGAACAUAAUUUGGCAGAUAGAACCAGUUUAAUAAAACGAGAAUCUCUAAGGAGCUCGAGGAUGAUCAAAGAUACAGUAAUCUGAAUGCAUGUCAAAAGGAACAUUAGUUUGAUGAAGUAACAAGUAUACCUUUCUGGACAAUCAAAGCACGAAGGGAUGUAUACUCCUGGUUCAAUUGUGAUGACCUACAUAUAAAAGUCAAUGAUUGGCUCUUGCAGAAAUCACAAGUAAUUAGAAGCUAACAUCAAAAGGACUCGUCUUUUUUUGUGGCCAGGAAUUCCUCUUAUCAAUCACCGCUUCAUCAAGGUUAAAUGUAGAAACCACCAGAUGGAGCACGAGCUUACAACAAAUGUCUAAAUAAUGACCAGGCUAUUUCAUCCAAGACUAUUAGCUUUGUCUAAUUUCAUCUGAUCAUUCUGAGCAAAAUAAAUGAUCAACCAAAGACUCAUCAAACAACAGCACAAUCAACUUUCAAUAAUGGGAUGAUACAAUCUGUGCUUUGCCUAAACAGGGAGUCAGAGUAACUUUUUUUCUUGCUUAUAGAAUUUUGAGGCAAUGCAGAAUGGAAACAUCAGAGAAUUUAACAGACUGACCAGCUAAUGGUGAAAUUGAUAUGGGGGGUUUUCUUUUGGUUUUUUUUUUUUUGGGGGGGGGGGGGGGGGGGGGGUGUUAAAAUUAGGUUUGGUUAGUGAGGUGGCAUUAUAAUAUUAAUGCCAUGUGGGAUUGGGCUCCACCUUGGUCAAUUUUAACGGUGGAGGGGUAUAUUUGUGCCCAAAGUAUAACGGUAGGGGUAUAUUUGAACCCAAAGUAUAACGAGGGGUAUAUUUGACCCUUUUCCGUAACUUAAAUCUACCACCUACACCAAUUAGUUUAUCA